GGCUGAAGAGAUGGCUCAGCGGUUAAGAGCACUGACUGCUCUUCUGAAGGCCCUGAGUUCAAUUCCCAGCAGCCA
RNAcentral lists this transfer RNA (75 nucleotides) under Mus musculus (house mouse). RNAcentral's name for it is "tRNA-Ser". Lineage: Eukaryota; Metazoa; Chordata; Mammalia; Rodentia; Muridae. The record is from RNAcentral.